Molecule: non-coding RNA, 140 nt
Organism: Polynucleobacter paneuropaeus
Lineage: Bacteria; Pseudomonadati; Pseudomonadota; Betaproteobacteria; Burkholderiales; Burkholderiaceae
Source: Rfam
CUGGUAUCAUUGCAAGGUUCGAAACUCAAUAAUUACCCUAGCGCUUAAAGACACUCACCUCCCGCAAAAACAGCCUUGGGGUAGUCUUUUUGAGGUGUUGAGCGUCGGAUGGAGCAGGGACUGGAGAUGGUUUGUCACCC